Molecule: long non-coding RNA, 1550 nt
Filed under: Homo sapiens (human)
Lineage: Eukaryota; Metazoa; Chordata; Mammalia; Primates; Hominidae
Description: HSALNT0387491
Source: RNAcentral
GGCGAGCGGGAGAGGGGAGAGGAGAAAAUUAAUACCCAAACAGCCAAGAAGUACCGAGGGGGAGAUUUCUUCUCGUAAAUAAAAGAGGCGGCGAUUGCAAACAAGUCUCCGGCAGGAGAAAGCAGGCUGGGGAGCCGGCUCCCCUCCCCCUCUCGCCACCAACACCCCUCCCCCCCCUUUUUUGGUUAUCUCCCUGGCCCGGCGUCCCACCACUGACUCAGAGAGAGGGGGUGGAAGGAGGAGGAGAAAGAACUCGCGGGGGCUCUGGCGCCUGGGCAGAAGGAGGCAGGAGGAGAGCGGGGAGGCGAGAGCGCACGGCGGUGGAGAGCCCCUCGAUCAAUUUUCAUGCAAGAAUCAUUAUCGGUAAAUUGGAAAGCUGGCUGCCUGACAGCAGAUUUGUCUCCCCUAAUGAAAGCGAAAGGGUAGGGGCGCAGCGGCGGGCGGCUGAAGGCGGCGGCGGCGGCGGCUCCUUCCGUCUCUACGCGGCAUCUUCCAACAGCUCCAUGCUUCGCAGGGCGAUAAUAAUAGUUUCACUUGCGAGCUUCCCCCCGCGCGGCCGCCGAGCCGGGCGGCAGAUCCAUGCGGACGGGGAGCGGGGCGCAGGAAGCCGGGCUCGCCUCUCCAAACCCGGGGAGGGUGCCGCUGCCGAAGGCAGGGUGCUCCCCUUCGCUCCGAAGCGGGGGCCGUUUGCAAACAGUGGGCGGCUGCGGGCGCCGCUGGCCCCCCCUCCGGCUGCCCAACUCCGCGCUCUGGCCGCCCGCCCGCCCGCCCGUCCGUCCUCCCUCCCUCCCCCCCCACGACUGACAGCUGCGGGAGCCGGGAGUUCGCCCUCCGCCAGGACCCGGGAGGAGAAUCCCCAAACCGUGACCCGGAGACUCGGGGCCGCCUUUUGUGGAACCCACGCGGGGUUGCGGCAACGCACACGCCGGCCGGCCCUGAUACAAUCAUGGUUUGAGGAACAGACCUGAGCCCGCAGGUACACACGGCGGGGCACCGCGCUCACACCAGGCUUGGGUUCCUGCCAACGCUCUCCAACCACUGCGUAAAUCAGGGGUCCCCAGCGGCAGCCCCGGGGUCCCUGCUAAAUGCAGCGGCUUCAAAUGACAGUUGAACUCCCGGAAUACGAUACCCUAGAGAAAAGCUACGGAGGGCAAAUUGGAGGAGAUGGGGGAGUGGGGGCAGCGGCGUGCCUUUUGACCUCUCCAAGCCACUUGCCAAACCCUCGCCUACCCCGCCAGAAAAAUUCUUAAAUGAGCUGGGCGGAGCGCUCGGAGCCAAGGGAGGGGUGGCGCUCUUCCCCGCCGCCGCCAGCAGCUCGGUGGCUGCGGCGUGCUGGCGGCCGCCUUCCUCCGGGGCUCGACCGCCGGGGUGCGAGGAGCGUCUUUGAGUCCCCAAGCUCGCUGCUGCGCCCCGCCUGGCGCCCCCUCCCAGCGGGCGGCCUAGCGCACGCGGGCGCAGGGGAGGGCGCCAGAGCUGCUGACCUGUAGGAAACCGGCCGCUCGGGGCCGCCCGCGCCCGCCGCCAACCUCUGGCUGCUCCGCCCCGCGCUG